UACGGAGGGUGCAAGCGUUAUCCGGAUUCACUGGGUUUAAAGGGAGCGUAGGCGGAACGAUAAGUCAGUGGUGAAAGCCCCGAGCUCAACUUGGGAAUUGCCAUUGACACUGUUGUUCUUGAGUUCGGUUGAGGUAGGCGGAAUGUUGCAUGUAGCGGUGAAAUGCGUAGAUAUUGGGAGGAACACCAGUGGCGAAGGCGGCUCACUGGACCGGUACUGACGCUGAUGCGCGAAAGCGUGGGGAGCAAACGGG
This 253-nucleotide ribosomal RNA is filed under the name uncultured bacterium. RNAcentral describes it as "partial 16S ribosomal RNA". It matches the Rfam family "Bacterial small subunit ribosomal RNA", at positions 524 to 776 of the family's 1533-position model. The record is from RNAcentral.